This is a long non-coding RNA of Ananas comosus (pineapple), 203 nucleotides long. RefSeq lists it as uncharacterized. The transcript is spliced from 3 exons. Lineage: Eukaryota; Viridiplantae; Streptophyta; Magnoliopsida; Poales; Bromeliaceae. The record is from RefSeq and is a predicted model, not a curated record.
AGAAGAAGAAGAAGAAAUAGAAGAAGAAGAAAAGAGGUCGACGACGCGCUAAUUACGGUAGCGGCCGUUCUAGUCCUAUUUGCACGGAGUCGCGAGAGAUAGUCGUCGACGCUUUCUGAAACGUGGAUUCUAGUUGAUUGACACCACUACAGGUUCCAGUGCGAGUUUUGAGGCCGAGGAUCGUGGCAAGGGCCCUGCAGCUU